RNAcentral lists this unclassified non-coding RNA (659 nucleotides) under uncultured Prochlorococcus sp. Its description in RNAcentral is "partial 16S-23S ribosomal RNA intergenic spacer; may also contain 16S ribosomal RNA and 23S ribosomal RNA". The stretch from base 306 to 378 matches the Rfam family "tRNA". Lineage: Bacteria; Bacillati; Cyanobacteriota; Cyanophyceae; Synechococcales; Prochlorococcaceae. The record is from RNAcentral.
UUGUGGAGGAGGACGCCGAAGGUGGGGCUAAUGACUGGGGUGAAGUCGUAACAAGGUAGCCGUACCGGAAGGUGCGGCUGGAUCACCUCCUAACAGGGAGACAACAAAAUGUUUAAUAUUGAUUUUGUCACCUUAGGUCGAUCGGUAUCUCAGAUUUUUAAUUCACUUAAAAAUUUCAGUUUCUAAGUUUUUUCUAGGUCACACCCAUUACUUUUUCCUGGGCCAUUAGCUCAGGUGGUUAGAGCGCACCCCUGAUAAGGGUGAGGUCCCUGGUUCAAGUCCAGGAUGGCCCAUAUCUCUAUGUUGGGGGUAUAGCUCAGUUGGUAGAGCGCCUGCUUUGCAAGCAGGAUGUCAGCGGUUCGAGUCCGCUUACCUCCACUGAAUACCACCUCUUAGAUUUUAAUAAUGAGGAAAAUUGUUUUGUUUGGUGUCUUCCUAUUUUUCUGAUCGAUUCUAGCUUCCUAUUUUUAUUUAAAAUAAGAUGCUGGACUCAUUGAAUUUACUUUCAUUGUUUUCAGAGAACCUUGACAACUGCAUAGAUUAUUUUUGAAGACAAUUAGCAUCUUUAGUGAUGCAGAUUUAUUAUUUGUGCUAAUGCAUUAAAUAACAAUUCUAUUAAGCUGAUGCUUCAAUUUUUGAAGUUAUUGGUCAAGCUACAA